This 402-nucleotide long non-coding RNA is filed under the name Sparus aurata (gilthead seabream). RNAcentral describes it as "lncRNA (ENSSAUG00010001032.1)". The record is from RNAcentral. Lineage: Eukaryota; Metazoa; Chordata; Actinopteri; Spariformes; Sparidae.
AUGAAGCCGACUACGACUAUGACUACGAUGCCGACUACAACUACGACUAUGAAGCCGACUACGACCACAAUGCCGACUACGACUACGAUGCCGACUACGAUUACGAUGCCGACUACAAAGCCAACUACGACUAAGAAGCCGACUAAGAAGAGAACUAAGAAGAGAACUACAACUACGAAGCCGACUAUGACGACACUUACUACUACAGCAUCACCAUCAUCAAGUACAAUCGCUCCUCCAGAACAAAAACCACCUCUCCCUUUGGUGAUAGGUAUCGUUGUCCCCUUGCUCCUCAUCAUCCUCCUCCUCAUCUUCUACCUGAUUCAUAGAUGCAGGUUUAAAAGACGAGGUAAAUAAAACCUGACACAGUAUGAGUGUAACAUAUUCUGCACACUUUAAUAU